RNAcentral lists this ribosomal RNA (1369 nucleotides) under uncultured bacterium. RNAcentral describes it as "bacterial SSU rRNA". It matches the Rfam family "Bacterial small subunit ribosomal RNA", at positions 28 to 1381 of the family's 1533-position model. The record is from RNAcentral.
GACGAACGCUGGCGGCGUGCCUAAUACAUGCAAGUAGAACGCCGAAGAGAAGAGCUUGCUCUUCUUGGAUGAGUUGCGAACGGGUGAGUAACGCGUAGGUAACCUGCCUGGUAGCGGGGGAUAACUAUUGGAAACGAUAGCUAAUACCGCAUAAAAUUGAUUAUUGCAUGAUAAUUAAUUGAAAGAUGCAAUUGCAUCACUACCAGAUGGACCUGCGUUGUAUUAGCUAGUUGGUGAGGUAACGGCUCACCAAGGCGACGAUACAUAGCCGACCUGAGAGGGUGAUCGGCCACACUGGGACUGAGACACGGCCCAGGCUCCUACGGGAGGCAGCAGUAGGGAAUCUUCGGCAAUGGGGGGAACCCUGACCGAGCAACGCCGCGUGAGUGAAGAAGGUUUUCGGAUCGUAAAGCUCUGUUGUAAGAGAAGAACGGGUGUGAGAGUGGAAAGUUCACACUGUGACGGUAUCUUACCAGAAAGGGACGGCUAACUACGUGCCAGCAGCCGCGGUAAUACGUAGGUCCCGAGCGUUGUCCGGAUUUAUUGGGCGUAAAGCGAGCGCAGGCGGUUAGAUAAGUCUGAAGUUAAAGGCUGUGGCUUAACCAUAGUAUGCUUUGGAAACUGUUUAACUUGAGUGCAGAGGGGGAGAGUGGAAUUCCAUGUGUAGCGGUGAAAUGCGUAGAUAUAUGGAGGAACACCGGUGGCGAAAGCGGCUCUCUGGUCUGUAACUGACGCUGAGGCUCGAAAGCGUGGGGAGCAAACAGGAUUAGAUACCCUGGUAGUCCACGCCGUAAACGAUGAGUGCUAGGUGUUAGGCCCUUUCCGGGGCUUAGUGCCGCAGCUAACGCAUUAAGCACUCCGCCUGGGGAGUACGACCGCAAGGUUGAAACUCAAAGGAAUUGACGGGGGCCCGCACAAGCGGUGGAGCAUGUGGUUUAAUUCGAAGCAACGCGAAGAACCUUACCAGGUCUUGACAUCCCUCUGACCGCUCUAGAGAUAGAGUUUUCCUUCGGGACAGAGGUGACAGGUGGUGCAUGGUUGUCGUCAGCUCGUGUCGUGAGAUGUUGGGUUAAGUCCCGCAACGAGCGCAACCCCUAUUGUUAGUUGCCAUCAUUCAGUUGGGCACUCUAGCGAGACUGCCGGUAAUAAACCGGAGGAAGGUGGGGAUGACGCCAAAUCAUCAUGCCCCUUAUGACCUGGGCUACACACGUGCUACAAUGGCUGGUACAACGAGUCGCAAGCCGGUGACGGCAAGCUAAUCUCUGAAAGCCAGUCUCAGUUCGGAUUGUAGGCUGCAACUCGCCUACAUGAAGUCGGAAUCGCUAGUAAUCGCGGAUCAGCACGCCGCGGUGAAUACGUUCCCGGGCCU